RNAcentral lists this ribosomal RNA (931 nucleotides) under uncultured Bacillota bacterium. RNAcentral describes it as "bacterial SSU rRNA". It matches the Rfam family "Bacterial small subunit ribosomal RNA", at positions 1 to 917 of the family's 1533-position model. The record is from RNAcentral. Lineage: Bacteria; Bacillati; Bacillota.
UGGAUCCAGACUUUGAUCCUGGCUCAGGAUGAACGCUGGCGGCGUGCUUAACACAUGCAAGUCGAACGGGGUUAUCAUUUUUGAAGCGAUUAGCUUGCUAAGAGUGGAAAUGUUGAUAACUUAGUGGCAGACGGGUGAGUAACGCGUGGGUAACCUGCCUUACACAGGGGGAUAACACUUAGAAAUAGGUGCUAAUACCGCAUAAGCGCACAGAGCCGCAUGGUUCCGUGUGAAAAACUCCGGUGGUGUAAGAUGGACCCGCGUCUGAUUAGCUGGUUGGCGGGGUAGAGGCCCACCAAGGCGACGAUCAGUAGCCGGCCUGAGAGGGUGGACGGCCACAUUGGGACUGAGACACGGCCCAAACUCCUACGGGAGGCAGCAGUGGGGGAUAUUGGACAAUGGGGGGAACCCUGAUCCAGCGACGCCGCGUGAGUGAAGAAGUAUUUCGGUAUGUAAAGCUCUAUCAGCAGGGAAGAAAGAAAUGACGGUACCUGAGUAAGAAGCCCCGGCUAACUACGUGCCAGCAGCCGCGGUAAUACGUAGGGGGCAAGCGUUAUCCGGAAUUACUGGGUGUAAAGGGAGCGUAGACGGUAAAGCAAGUCUGGAGUGAAAGGCCGGGGCCCAACCCCGGGACUGCUCUGGAAACUGUUAAACUGGAGUGCAGGAGAGGCAGGCGGAAUUCCUAGUGUAGCGGUGAAAUGCGUAGAUAUUAGGAGGAACACCAGUGGCGAAGGCGGCCUGCUGGACUGUAACUGACGUUGAGGCUCGAAAGCGUGGGGAGCAAACAGGAUUAGAUACCCUGGUAGUCCACGCCGUAAACGAUGAUUACUAGGUGUAGGUGGGUAUGGACCCAUCGGUGCCGCAGCCAACGCAGUAAGUAAUCCACCUGGGGAGUACGUUCGCAAGAAUGCAACUCAAAGGAAUUGACGGA